GAUGAAGAACGUAGCGAAAUGCGAUAAGUAGUGUGAAUUGCAGAAUUCAGUGAAUCAUCGAAUCUUUGAACGCACAUUGCGCCCCUUGGUAUCCCGAGGGGCAUGCCUGUUCGAGCGUCAUUUCACCACUCAAGCCUGGCUUGGUGUUGGGCGACGUCCCCUUUGGGGACGCGCCUCGAAACGCUCGGCGGCGUGGCACCGGCUUUAAGCGUAGCAGAAUCUUUCGCUUUGAAAGUCGGGGCCCCGUCUGCCGGAAGACCUACUCGCAAGGUUGACCUCGGAUCAGGCAGGGAUACCCGCUGAACUUAAGCAUAUCAAUAAGCGGAGGA
RNAcentral lists this unclassified non-coding RNA (329 nucleotides) under soil metagenome. Its description in RNAcentral is "partial contains 5.8S ribosomal RNA, internal transcribed spacer 2, and large subunit ribosomal RNA". The stretch from base 1 to 120 matches the Rfam family "5.8S ribosomal RNA", at positions 35 to 154 of the family's 154-position model. The record is from RNAcentral.